UGAAUCUCAAAAAAUUAUAAGUAAGGCCAUGAGCCUGAAUCUCAGAAAAUCGCCAGUAAGGCCACGAGUCUAAAUCCCUAGAAAAUCGCCAGUAAGACCACGAGCCUGAAUCUUGGAAAAUCGCUAAUAAGGCCACGAGCCUGAAUCCCCGGAGAAUCACCAGUAAAACAACGAGUUUGAACCUUUACAAGAACACUAAGGGAAAAAAAGACCAUAAGCGAAAUCAG
Molecule: long non-coding RNA, 227 nt
Filed under: Manihot esculenta (cassava)
Lineage: Eukaryota; Viridiplantae; Streptophyta; Magnoliopsida; Malpighiales; Euphorbiaceae
Description: long non-coding RNA (MESC_LNC012642)
Source: RNAcentral